CCUACGGGUGGCAGCAGUGGGGAAUAUUGCACAAUGGGGGAAACCCUGAUGCAGCGACGCCGCGUGAGUGAAGAAGUAUCUCGGUAUGUAAAGCUCUAUCAGCAGGGAAGAAAAUGACGGUACCUGACUAAGAAGCCCCGGCUAACUACGUGCCAGCAGCCGCGGUAAUACGUAGGGGGCAAGCGUUAUCCGGAUUUACUGGGUGUAAAGGGAGUGUAGACGGCAGUGCAAGUCAGGAGUGAAAGGCGGGGGCUCAACCCUCGGACUGCUCUGGAAACUGUACGGCUGGAGUGCAGGAGAGGUAGGCGGAAUUCCUGGUGUAGCGGUGAAAUGCGUAGAUAUUAGGAGGAACACCGGGGGCGAAGGCGGCUUACUGGACUGUAACGGACGUUGAGGCUCGAAAGCGUGGGGAGCAAACAGGAUUAGAUACCCGGGUAGUC
This 440-nucleotide ribosomal RNA is filed under the name uncultured bacterium. Its description in RNAcentral is "partial 16S ribosomal RNA". It matches the Rfam family "Bacterial small subunit ribosomal RNA", at positions 338 to 795 of the family's 1533-position model. The record is from RNAcentral.